Molecule: ribosomal RNA, 267 nt
Filed under: uncultured bacterium
Lineage: Bacteria
Description: partial 16S ribosomal RNA
Rfam family: Bacterial small subunit ribosomal RNA
Source: RNAcentral
UAGCUUAGUGGCGGACGGGUGAGUAACGCGUGAGCAACCUGCCUUUCAGAGGGGGAUAACGUUUGGAAACGAACGCUAAUACCGCAUAGACCACACUUCCACAUGGGAGAGGGGUCAAAGGAGCAAUCCGCUGAAAGAUGGGCUCGCGUCCGAUUAGAUAGUUGGGGGGGUAACGGCCCACCAAGUCGACGAUCGGUAGCCGGACUGAGAGGUUGAACGGCCACAUUGGGACUGAGACACGGCCCAGACUCCUACGGAAGGCAGCAG